Molecule: ribosomal RNA, 339 nt
Filed under: uncultured bacterium
Lineage: Bacteria
Description: partial 16S ribosomal RNA
Rfam family: Bacterial small subunit ribosomal RNA
Source: RNAcentral
CCUACGGGAGGCAGCAGUAGGGAAUAUUGCUCAAUGGGGGAAACCCUGAAGCAGCAACGCCGCGUGGAGGAUGAAGGUUUUCGGAUUGUAAACUCCUUUUGUUAGAGAAGAUAAUGACGGUAUCUAACGAAUAAGCACUGGGUCACUCCGUGCCAGCAGCCGCGGUAAUACGGAGGGUGCAAGCGUUACUCGGAAACACUGGGCGUAAAGAGGGCGGAGGCGGGAUAGCAAGUGUGAAGUGAAAUGCUCUGGCUUAACCCGAGAAGUGCAGUUGGAACUGGUGGUGUUGAGGUAGGGAGAGGCAGGCGGAAUUCGUGGUGUAGGGGUGAAAUGCGUAGA